GUAGGUGAACCUGCGGAAGGAUCAUUAACACGUAUCCACGUAUCAACAAUCUGUGAACUCAAUCUCCCUGCGCGAGGAAAAGCUGUUAGUGUAGUUAGUGGUGGGUGUACAGUUGGGUAACCAAUUUGUAUACAGCUAUGGUAACUCGGGUUUCGAACCCAAUGCUUUCUUCGUCGUAGGCCUCUUAUCUCCUCCACUUCCAACCAACCAUUUUCACCUUGAAUUCAUCUUGACUGAUGUACUUAUGUAA
Molecule: unclassified non-coding RNA, 250 nt
Filed under: plant metagenome
Description: partial contains small subunit ribosomal RNA, internal transcribed spacer 1, and 5.8S ribosomal RNA
Source: RNAcentral